CCUACGGGCGGCAGCAGUGAGGAAUAUUGGUCAAUGGGCGCAAGCCUGAACCAGCCAAGUAGCGUGAAGGAUGACUGCCCUACGGGUUGUAAACUUCUUUUGUACAAGAAUAAAGUGGGGCACGUGUGCCUUUUUGUAUGUACUUUAUGAAUAAGGAUCGGCUAACUCCGUGCCAGCAGCCGCGGUAAUACGGAGGAUCCGAGCGUUAUCCGGAUUUAUUGGGUUUAAAGGGAGCGUAGAUGGGUUGUUAAGUCAGUUGUGAAAGUUUGCGGCUUAACCGUAAAAUUGCCAUUGAUACUGGCAGCCUUGAGUAUAGGUGAGGUAGGCGGAAUGCGUGGUGUAGCGGUGAAAUGCUUAGAUAUCACGCAGAACACCGAUUGCGAAGGCAGCUUACUAAACUGCCACUGACAUUGAUGCUCGAAAGCGUGGGGAGCAAACAGGAUUAGAUACCCGUGUAGUC
RNAcentral lists this ribosomal RNA (460 nucleotides) under uncultured bacterium. RNAcentral describes it as "partial 16S ribosomal RNA". It matches the Rfam family "Bacterial small subunit ribosomal RNA", at positions 338 to 795 of the family's 1533-position model. The record is from RNAcentral.